This 65-nucleotide transfer RNA is filed under the name Ceriodaphnia cornuta. RNAcentral's name for it is "tRNA-Tyr". It matches the Rfam family "tRNA". From Rfam's summary of the family: Transfer RNA (tRNA) molecules are approximately 80 nucleotides in length. Their secondary structure includes four short double-helical elements and three loops (D, anti-codon, and T loops). Lineage: Eukaryota; Metazoa; Arthropoda; Branchiopoda; Diplostraca; Daphniidae. The record is from RNAcentral.
AGUUCAAUGGUCGAGUUAUAGGCAUUAGAUUGUAAAUCUAAUUACGAGAGCAAUCUCUUGAACUA